Molecule: ribosomal RNA, 465 nt
Filed under: uncultured bacterium
Lineage: Bacteria
Description: partial 16S ribosomal RNA
Rfam family: Bacterial small subunit ribosomal RNA
Source: RNAcentral
CCUACGGGUGGCAGCAGUGGGGAAUAUUGCGCAAUGGGCGAAAGCCUGACGCAGCGACGCCGCGUGAGGGAUGAAGGUCUUCGGAUCGUAAACCUCUGUCAGCAGGGAAGAACGGUCACUGUGCUAAUCAGCAGUGAAUUGACGGUACCUGCAAAGGAAGCACCGGCUAACGCCGUGCCAGCAGCCGCGGUAAUACGGAGGGUGCGAGCGUUAAUCGGAAUUACUGGGCGUAAAGCGCUCGUAGGCGGUAUGUCAAGUCAAGGGUGAAAUCCCCGCGCUCAACGUGGGAACUGCCUUUGAAACUGGCAAACUGGAGUGUGUGAGAGGAUAGUGGAAUGCCAGGUGUAGGAGUGAAAUGCGUAGAUAUCUGGAGGAACAUCAGUGGCGAAGGCGACUAUCUGGCACAUAACUGACGCUGAGGAGCGAAAGCGUGGGUAGCAAACAGGAUUAGAUACCCUUGUAGUC